AGUGAACGCUGGCGGUAGGCCUAACACAUGCAAGUCGAACGGCAGCACAGUAAGAGCUUGCUCUUACGGGUGGCGAGUGGCGGACGGGUGAGGAAUACAUCGGAAUCUACUUUUUCGCGGGGGAUAACGUAGGGAAACUUACGCUAAUACCGCAUACGACCUACGGGUGAAAGCAGGGGAUCUUCGGACCUUGCGCGAUUGAAUGAGACGAUGUCGGAUUAGCUAGUUGGCGGGGUAAAGGCCCACCAAGGCGACGAUCCGUAGCUGGUCUGAGAGGAUGAUCAGCCACACUGGAACUGAGACACGGUCCAGACUCCUACGGGAGGCAGCAGUGGGGAAUAUUGGACAAUGGGCGCAAGCCUGAUCCAGCCAUACCGCGUGGGUGAAGAAGGCCUUCGGGUUGUAAAGCCCUUUUGUUGGGAAAGAAAAGCAGCAGGUUAAUACCCCGCUGUUCUGACGGUACCCAAAGAAUAAGCACCGGCUAACUUCGUG
RNAcentral lists this ribosomal RNA (492 nucleotides) under uncultured bacterium. Its description in RNAcentral is "partial 16S ribosomal RNA". It matches the Rfam family "Bacterial small subunit ribosomal RNA", at positions 29 to 507 of the family's 1533-position model. The record is from RNAcentral.